GACGAACGCUGGCGGCGUGCUUAACACAUGCAAGUCGAACGGCAAGGCCCUGCUUUUGUGGGGUGCUCGAGUGGCGAACGGGUGAGUAACACGUGAGUAACCUGCCCUUGACUUUGGGAUAACUUCAGGAAACUGGGGCUAAUACCGGAUAGGAGCUCCUGCUGCAUGGUGGGGGCUGGAAAGUUUCGGCGGUUGGGGAUGGACUCGCGGCUUAUCAGCUUGUUGGUGGGGUAGUGGCUCACCAAGGCUUUGACGGGUAGCCGGCAUGAGAGGGUGACCGGCGACAAUAGGACUGAGAUACGGCGCAGAGUGCUACGGGGGGCAGCAGUGGGGAGUAUUGCACAAUGGGCGGGAGCCUGAUGCAGCAACGCCGCGUGCGGGAAGAAGGCCUGCGGGUUGUAAACCGCUUUCGCCUGUGACGAAGCGUGAGUGACGGUAAUGGGUGAAGAAGCACCGGCUAACUACGUG
RNAcentral lists this ribosomal RNA (468 nucleotides) under uncultured bacterium. Its description in RNAcentral is "partial 16S ribosomal RNA". It matches the Rfam family "Bacterial small subunit ribosomal RNA", at positions 28 to 507 of the family's 1533-position model. The record is from RNAcentral.